UGCUGCCACCCCUGCGUGUCCCGGUGUCCCUGCUUGGGUCCCGGUGUCCCCGGGUCCUGAGGGGUGUCCCUGGGAGGGUCCCCGGGGCAGGUCCCGGUGUCCCAGUAUGUCUCCUAGUGUCCCCAGUGUGUGUCCUGGUGUCCCAGUAUGGGUCCCCGUGUCCCAGUCUGUGUGCCGAUACCCCAGUAUGUGUUCCCCCGGCGUGUCUCGUGGUAUCCCAGUAUGUGUCCCAGUAUCCCAGUAUGUGUCCAGAGUCCCCUGUGUGUGUACUGGUGUCCCCUGAUCCUGAUGGAUGUCCCGGGGAGGGUCCCAGUGUGGGUCCUGGGGUCCCCAGUAUGUGUCCUGGUGUGUGUCCCCCGGGGUGCGUCCCUGGUGUCCCCAGUGCAUGUCCCAGUGUCCCAGUAUGUGUCCUGGUGUCCCCAGUAUGUGUCCCGAUGCCCCAGCAUGUGUCCUGGUGUCCUCAGUAGAUGUCCCGGUGCUCCAGCAUGUGCUCUGGUGUCCCCAGUGUGUGUCCCCCUGCUGUGUCUCCUGGUAUCCCAGUAUGCAUCCCAAUAUACCAAUACGUGCCCUGGUGUCCCACUGCGUGUCCUGGUGAACCAAUAUGGCUCCUGGUGUCCCAGUAUGUGUCCCAGUGUCCUCAGGUCAUGGUGUGUCCCCCCGGGGUAUGUCGUUGGCAUCCCAGUAUGUGUCCUGGUGUCCCAGUAUUUGUCCCUGGUGUCCCCAGUACAUGUCCUGGGGUUUCAAUAUGUGUCCCAGUAUCCCAGUAUGUGUCCCAGUGUCCCCAGUGUGUGUACUGGUGCCCCAGUAUGUGUCCCAGUGUCCAUAGAUGUGUCCUGGUGCCACUGGGUCCUGAGGAGUGUCCUGGAGUGGGUCCCCAAGGUGGGUCCUGGUGUCUCAGUAUGUGCCCUGGUGUCCCCAGUAUGUGUCCCAGUGUUCCCAUGUGUCCCCCCGGUGUGUCUGCUGGUAUCCAAGUAUGUGUCCAAGUAUCCCAUCAUGUGUUCUGGUGUCCACAGUGUGUGUCCUGGUGUCCUGAUGUGUGCCCCUGGUGUGUGUCCCAGUGUCUCAGUUGGUGUCCCAGUGUGUGUCCCCAGUGUGUGUCCCAGUGUCCCGGUGUGUGUGCCUGGUGUGUCCCCUGUUUUCCCAGUACGUGCCCCAGUGCACAUCCCGUGUGUCCCAGUGUAUGUCCUGGUAUCCCAGGUUGUGUCCUGGUGUGUGUCCUGGUGUCCCCAGUGUGUGUCCUAGGUACAUGCCCCACUGUGUGGCCCUGUGCCCUGAAGUGUGAUCCCAGUGUCCCUAGUGUCCCAGUCCACCCCACCGCUCUCUGGAGGAGCCCCUCUUGGGAUGCUCCUGGUGGGCCUUGUCCCUAAUUCUUCCCAGGCCAAGCUCCCAGGCUUCUUCUACCAGCCUUGAGCUUUACAGGGAAAACAAACAGAGCCGGGGAUCAUGCCUUGCCCUUCGGUGCCUGAUUCACCCCAGCUGCUCCCAGGACUGGACUCUACGUUGCCUCUUGAGCAGGAGGAAGAGAGCAACCAUGCACUGACCCACCUGCUUCCCCUACAUAAGGAUGAGGUCCCUGGGGCUGCUUAGGUUGGAGAAGAGGAGGCUGAGGGAAGACAUCAUCAUGCUCUACAGCUCCUGGAGAGGAGGUAGUAGUGAGGCAUAGGCAUUAGAUGCAUUCCCUUUCUUGGACAAGGGGAACUAUGCUCCUGACAGAGGAGAAGGAAGGUCUACAGGAGACCAGCCUGGUGAACAAGUCUUGUGAGGAGCAGUUGAGGGACCAGAGGCUGUUUAGCCUGGAGAAGAGGAGUCUGAGGGGAAACCUCAUCACUCUCUGCAGCUCCAGCUUGUGGUGAGGAAGGAUUUAGCCAUGCAGUUCCCAGUACCAUCUGACCUCAAUAAAUGUCUAUGCCAUUGGUGGGUGCUGCUGGUGGAUGGGGUCACAGCCUGUACCUGGGCUCCUUGAAGGCUGGCUGCAACUAAACAGCUUCGUCAGGGCUUGUGACAGCAUUGCUGGACACGUGUGGUGGGUGAGAUGGUUGUUCCCUUGUCCUUACACCCUCAGCCUCCUCUUCUCCAGGCUAAACAGACCGAGCUCCCUCAGUUGCUUCCAGAAUCUUUGUUCUCCAGCCCCUUCCCCAGCUCUGUUCCCAUUUCUAGAUGCACUCCAGCCCCUCAAUGUCCUUGGAGUGCAGUGCCCAAAACUGAACCCAGGAUUCAAGAUGUAGCCUCACCAGGGGGCCCAUCCCUUUCUUGCUCCUGCUGGCCUCACCAUUUCUGAUCCAAGCCAGGAUGAUCUUGGCCUUCUUGGCUGCCUGGGCCACUGCUGGCUCAUAUUCAGCUGCUGUCGCCCAGCACCCCUUGGUCUUUUUUGCCUGGUCACCUUUCCAGCCAUGCGUUCCCCUGUGGGAUGGGUUGGCCUGUGACCACACACCAUUAGGUACCAUUUAAUGCAGAACCUUGGUGUUGAAGUGGGGGAUGGCUCUGCUGUUUUGUAACCUGUGCUCGCUGCCACACACGAGAGUGUCCCUGGCCAGCCCUGUGGCUGCUGUGAACAGCCCUUGCACCUGUGCUGACUGGAUUUACUUAAUGCAGCUCACCACAGUGCUCUCCACGCUGUGCGUGUCAGUCGGGGUCAAGCCUAAGCACAGGUUACUGCACAAAGAUCCUGGUGGUUUUGCACCUGGUGGUGUCCUCAGGGCAGCUCGGCUCCUGCUCAGGGAUUGGCCCCAGGGCUCACAGAACCCUUCCCUCUCCUAACGCAAAGCAAUUCUCAUGCCCUCUUCAAGGGGUGUUGAUCCAUGGCCUCAGCACUCCAUAGUGUUAUCUGUUUGGGGCACUUUGCUAUAUGUCCUGUGAACAUUGUCUUACAUCCCGUAAACGCCUGGGUGGGGGCAAGUCCAAGCACAAAAAGAGACUGGGUGGAGAAUGGAUUGGGAGCAGCUCUGAGGAGAGGGAGCUGAGGGAGGAGAAGCUCAAUGCGAGCUGGCAACGUGUACUCACAGCCCAGAAACUGCCCAUGUCCUGGGCUGCACCCAGAGGAGGGUGACCAGCAGGGAGGGGAUUCUGCCCCUCUGCUCCACCCUGUGAGACCCGUCUGGAGCCCUGCAUCCAGCUCUGGAGUCCUCAGCACAGGGAGGACAUGGAGCUGUUGGAGCGAGUGCAGAGGAGGCCACGGAGAUGAUCUGAGGGCUGGAGCACCUCCUG
Molecule: RNA transcript, 3204 nt
Organism: Cuculus canorus (common cuckoo)
Lineage: Eukaryota; Metazoa; Chordata; Aves; Cuculiformes; Cuculidae
Gene name: VIP peptides
Exons: 4
Source: RefSeq, a predicted model, not a curated record